Molecule: ribosomal RNA, 1507 nt
Filed under: Cytobacillus firmus
Lineage: Bacteria; Bacillati; Bacillota; Bacilli; Caryophanales; Bacillaceae
Description: bacterial SSU rRNA
Rfam family: Bacterial small subunit ribosomal RNA
Source: RNAcentral
GCACUGUCAUAAGUCUAUACAUGCAGUCGAGCGGACAGAUGGGAGCUUGCUCCCUGAAGUCAGCGGCGGACGGGUGAGUAACACGUGGGCAACCUGCCUGUAAGACUGGGAUAACUCCGGGAAACCGGGGCUAAUACCGGAUAAUUCUUUUCCUCUCAUGAGGAAAAGCUGAAAGAUGGUUUCGGCUAUCACUUACAGAUGGGCCCGCGGCGCAUUAGCUAGUUGGUGAGGUAACGGCUCACCAAGGCCACGAUGCGUAGCCGACCUGAGAGGGUGAUCGGCCACACUGGGACUGAGACACGGCCCAGUCUCCCUUACGGAGGGCCACAUCAGUAGGCAUUCUUGCCGCAAUGGACGAAAGUCUGACUGAGCACCGCCAGCGGUGAGUGAUGCAGGUUUGCGUAUCGUGAAACUCUGUUGUCAGGGAAGAACAAGUACCGGAGUAACUGGCGGUAACUUGACGGUACCUGACCAGAAAGGCACAGCUAACUACGUGCCAGCAGACGCGGUAAUACGUAGGUGGCAAGCGAUGUCCUGAAGUAUUGGGCGUAAAGCGCGCGCAGGCGGUUCCUUAAGUCUGAUGUGAAAGCCCCCGGCUCAAGCCGGGGAGGGUCAUUGGAAACUGGGGAACUUGAGUGCAGAAGAGAAGAGUGGGAGUUCCACGUGUAGCGGUGAAGUGCGUAGAGAUGUGGAGGAACACCAGUGGCGAAGGCGACUCUUUGGUCUGUAACUGACGCUGAGGCGCGAAAGCGUGGGGAGCAAACAGGAUUAGAUACCCUGGUAGUCCACGCCGUAAACGAUGAGUGCUAAGUGUUAGAUGGUUUCCGCCCUUUAGUGCUGCAGCAAACGCAUUAAGCACUCCGCCUCGGGGAGUACGGCCGCAACGCUGAAACUCACAAGGAAUUGACCGGGGCCCGCACGAGCGGUGGAGCAUGUGGUUUAGUUCGAAGCUACGCGGAGAAGCUUACCACGUCUUGACAUCUCCUGACUACCCUAGAGAUAAUGCGAUCCCCUUCUGGGGACAGGAUGACAGGUUGUGCAUGGGUGUCGUCAGCUCAUGUCCUGACAUGUUGGGUUGAGUCCCGCAACGAGCGCAACCCCUGAUCCUAGGUGCCAGCAUUCAGGUGGCCACUCUAACGUGGACUGGCGGUAACAGCUUGCAAACCGGAGGGAGUUACGUCGAAAUCAUCAUCAUCCUGCCUUAUGAGCCCUGGGCCACACACGUGCUACAAUGGAUGGUACAAAGGGCUGCAAAACCGCGAGGUUAAGCGAAUCCCAUAAAACCAUUCUCAGUUCGGAUUGCAGGCUGCAACUCGCCUGCAUGAAGCCGGAAUCGCUAGUAAUCGCGGAUCAGCAUGCCGCGGUGAAUACGUUCCCGGGCCUUGUACACACCGCCCGUCACACCACGAGAGUUUGUAACACCCGAAGUCGGUGGGGUAACCUUUUGGAGCCAGCCGCCUAACGGUGGGACAGAUGAUUGGGGCGAAGUCGAGACAAUGCAGACGCC